GGAUCACCUCCUUACCUGAAGAUACCUUCCGGCGCAGUGUCCACACAGAUUGUCUGAUAGAAGUAACGAGCAAAGUCACACCAGAGUCCCCAUCGUCUAGAGGCCCAGGACACUGCCCUUUCACGGCUGUAACAGGGGUUCGAAUCCCCUUGGGGACGCCAUACCGGUAACGAAGUGAAAGACGUUAUCAACCGUAUCUCAAAACUGAUUGUGCGAAAGCGAGUCACGUUUGAGAUAUUUGCUCUUUAACAAUCCGGAACAAGCUGAAAAUUGAAACGACAUGUCGUGUUCAUUCUCCGUAAUAAGAAUGAAGUUAACGACAUGUUCGAGUCUCUCAAUGCCUGCAACUGACAGACGUCUUUCGGGACGCUUGUGGGUUGUGAGGUUAAGCGACUAAGCGUACACGGUGGAUGCCCAGGCAGUCAGAGGCGAUGAAGGGCGUGCUAAUCUGCGAUAAGCGUCGGUAAGGUGAUAUGAACCGCAACAACCGACGAUACCCGAAUGGGGAAACCCAGUGCAAUCCGUUGCACUAUCAUGUCAUGAAUACAUAGUGGCAUGAGGCGAACCGGGGGAACUGAAACAUCUAAGUACCAAGGGC
Molecule: unclassified non-coding RNA, 598 nt
Filed under: Erwinia pyrifoliae
Lineage: Bacteria; Pseudomonadati; Pseudomonadota; Gammaproteobacteria; Enterobacterales; Erwiniaceae
Description: 16S-23S ribosomal RNA intergenic spacer
Rfam family: Bacterial large subunit ribosomal RNA (bases 384-598)
Source: RNAcentral